AACGCUAGCUACAGGCUUAACACAUGCAAGUCGAGGGGCAUCAGGAAGAAAGCUUGCUUUCUUUGCUGGCGACCGGCGCACGGGUGAGUAACACGUAUCCAACCUGCCCUUUACUCGGGGAUAGCCUUUCGAAAGAAAGAUUAAUACCCGAUGGCAUAAUGAUUCCGCAUGGUUUCAUUAUUAAAGGAUUCCGGUAAAGGAUGGGGAUGCGUUCCAUUAGGUUGUUGGUGAGGUAACGGCUCACCAAGCCUUCGAUGGAUAGGGGUUCUGAGAGGAAGGUCCCCCACAUUGGAACUGAGACACGGUCCAAACUCCUACGGGAGGCAGCAGUGAGGAAUAUUGGUCAAUGGGCGCUAGCCUGAACCAGCCAAGUAGCGUGAAGGAUGAAGGCUCUAUGGGUCGUAAACUUCUUUUAUAUAAGAAUAAAGUGCAGUAUGUAUACUGUUUUGUAUGUAUUAUAUGAAUAAGGAUCGGCUAACUCCGUGCCAGCAGCCGCGGUAAUACGGAGGAUCCGAGCGUUAUCCGGAUUUAUUGGGUUUAAAGGGAGCGUAGGUGGACUGGUAAGUCAGUUGUGAAAGUUUGCGGCUCAACCGUAAAAUUGCAGUUGAUACUGUCAGUCUUGAGUACAGUAGAGGUGGGCGGAAUUCGUGGUGUAGCGGUGAAAUGCUUAGAUAUCACGAAGAACUCCGAUUGCGAAGGCAGCUCACUGGACUGCAACUGACACUGAUGCUCGAAAGUGUGGGUAUCAAACAGGAUUAGAUACCCUGGUAGUCCACACAGUAAACGAUGAAUACUCGCUGUUUGCGAUAUACAGUAAGCGGCCAAGCGAAAGCAUUAAGUAUUCCACCUGGGGAGUACGCCGGCAACGGUGAAACUCAAAGGAAUUGACGGGGGCCCGCACAAGCGGAGGAACAUGUGGUUUAAUUCGAUGAUACGCGAGGAACCUUACCCGGGCUUAAAUUGCAGUGGAAUGAUGUGGAAACAUGUCAGUGAGCAAUCACCGCUGUGAAGGUGCUGCAUGGUUGUCGUCAGCUCGUGCCGUGAGGUGUCGGCUUAAGUGCCAUAACGAGCGCAACCCUUAUCUUUAGUUACUAACAGGUUAUGCUGAGGACUCUAGAGAGACUGCCGUCGUAAGAUGUGAGGAAGGUGGGGAUGACGUCAAAUCAGCACGGCCCUUACGUCCGGGGCUACACACGUGUUACAAUGGGGGGUACAGAAGGCAGCUAGCGGGUGACCGUAUGCUAAUCCCAAAAGCCUCUCUCAGUUCGGAUCGAAGUCUGCAACCCGACUUCGUGAAGCUGGAUUCGCUAGUAAUCGCGCAUCAGCCACGGCGCGGUGAAUACGUUCCCGGGCCUUGUACACACCGCCCGUCAAGCCAUGGGAGCCGGGGGUACCUGAAGUACGUAACCGCAAGGAUCGUCCUAGGGUAAAACUGGUGACUGGGG
RNAcentral lists this ribosomal RNA (1445 nucleotides) under uncultured organism. Its description in RNAcentral is "SSU rRNA". It matches the Rfam family "Bacterial small subunit ribosomal RNA". The record is from RNAcentral.